CAGAGGAGGAGCUUGGCUCCCAGCCAGCUGGCCAAGAGAAAACCUGAAGGCAGGUCCUGUGAUGAUGAAGACUGGCAACCUGGCCUAGUGACUCCUAGGAAACGGAAAUCCAGCAGUGAGACCCAGAUCCAGGAGUGUUUCCUGUCUCCUUUUCGGAAACCUUUGAGUCAGCUAACCAAUCAACCACCUUGUCUGGACAGCAGUCAGCAUGAAGCAUUUAUUCGAAGCAUUUU
Molecule: long non-coding RNA, 233 nt
Filed under: Pan troglodytes (chimpanzee)
Lineage: Eukaryota; Metazoa; Chordata; Mammalia; Primates; Hominidae
Description: long non-coding RNA NONPTRT000239
Source: RNAcentral